UUGGGCUUAUCUCUUUCUUUUAAUUGUGAUAGUAAAACAAUAAAAAUGAGAUUUAAUUUUAACCAGCGUUGGUCUGUCUGAGGCAGUAGGUAAAGAUGAUGAGGUAGAGAAAUAUUAAUCCAGCCUGGUUAUUUAACUUCUGCCUGAGAGUGAGGGGGACACUGUUGAAGGCACCUGCUCAGGACAAUGAAGCUCCUCAAUUACGCUUUUGUGUAUCGUCGCUUUCUCCUUGUGGUUUUCACUGUUUUGGUUUUAUUGCCACUCCCUCUCAUCAUCCGUAGCAAGGUAAGCAAGCCUGGAGUGCAGACAGGCACAUGUCUUGGGCUAUAGGUUGUCCUUUGAUGUUGAUCAUGGUCUUGUUCGAAGCUGAAGGAAUGGUAAUACUUUGUGCUUUUUCUAUACAUUAUACUUGUGUAUUUUCCUCAUUUUUUAUUGGUUGGUCUUAUUUGCAUCUCAUCAUUAUUAAG
RNAcentral lists this long non-coding RNA (467 nucleotides) under Rattus norvegicus (Norway rat). Its description in RNAcentral is "long non-coding RNA NONRATT021269". Lineage: Eukaryota; Metazoa; Chordata; Mammalia; Rodentia; Muridae. The record is from RNAcentral.